CUCUGUAACGUAAUUUUAAAUACAAAAAUAUAAAUUUAUAUUUUUGUAAACGUUCACAGCCGUUGUGUUUUUAGUACAAUGCACGUUGAAAUAUAAAUAAAUAAAUAAAUAUUUGUAAAACUCAUGAUAUUUUCCUCACAACUGGUGGAGACACAGUUAUGUAGGUUAAAAAGAAGAACUGCCCAGCUACCUAAAACAUUAGU
Molecule: non-coding RNA, 203 nt
Organism: Plutella xylostella (diamondback moth)
Lineage: Eukaryota; Metazoa; Arthropoda; Insecta; Lepidoptera; Plutellidae
Source: RefSeq, a predicted model, not a curated record